GAUGAACGCUGGCGGCGUGCCUAAUACAUGCAAGUCGAGCGAACAGACGAGGAGCUUGCUCCUCUGACGUUAGCGGCGGACGGGUGAGUAACACGUGGAUAACCUACCUAUAAGACUGGGAUAACUUCGGGAAACCGGAGCUAAUACCGGAUAAUAUAUUGAACCGCAUGGUUCAAUAGUGAAAGACGGUUUUGCUGUCACUUAUAGAUGGAUCCGCGCCGCAUUAGCUAGUUGGUAAGGUAACGGCUUACCAAGGCAACGAUGCGUAGCCGACCUGAGAGGGUGAUCGGCCACACUGGAACUGGGACACGGUCCAGACUCCUACGGGAGGCAGCAGUAGGGAAUCUUCCGCAAUGGGCGAAAGCCUGACGGAGCAACGCCGCGUGAGUGGUGAAGGUCUUCGGAUCGUAAAACUCUGUUAUUAGGGAAGAACAAAUGUGUAAGUAACUAUGCACGUCUUGACGGUACCUAAUCAGAGAGCCACGGCUAACUACGUG
RNAcentral lists this ribosomal RNA (497 nucleotides) under uncultured bacterium. RNAcentral describes it as "partial 16S ribosomal RNA". It matches the Rfam family "Bacterial small subunit ribosomal RNA", at positions 28 to 507 of the family's 1533-position model. The record is from RNAcentral.